CCCUAGCCCAGAUAGGAGCGGCAUCCUUUUAUGCUGGGGUUCAGCAUAAAAGAUAUAGUGGAUAGCUGGAUUAGCU
RNAcentral lists this small RNA (76 nucleotides) under Flavobacterium gillisiae. RNAcentral describes it as "Flavo-1 RNA". It matches the Rfam family "Flavo-1 RNA". Lineage: Bacteria; Pseudomonadati; Bacteroidota; Flavobacteriia; Flavobacteriales; Flavobacteriaceae. The record is from RNAcentral.